This 116-nucleotide non-coding RNA is filed under the name Rodentibacter caecimuris. Its description in RNAcentral is "Rodentibacter heylii Glycine sequence". It matches the Rfam family "Glycine riboswitch aptamer". From Rfam's summary of the family: This family represents the bacterial glycine riboswitch. The record is from RNAcentral. Lineage: Bacteria; Pseudomonadati; Pseudomonadota; Gammaproteobacteria; Pasteurellales; Pasteurellaceae.
GGACGAACCCUUGGAGAGAUCCGUAAUUAAUAAAUAUGCGGACGCCGAAGGCGCAAAAGAGCGGUCGUUUUUCGAUCGUUUUUCAAACGCUCAGGCAAAAGGACAGGGGCAAAAAA